CCUACGGGUGGCAGCAGUGAGGAAUAUUGGUCAAUGGGCGCGAGCCUGAACCAGCCAAGUAGCGUGAAGGAUGACGGCCCUACGGGUUGUAAACUUCUUUUAUAAAGGAAUAAAGUGAGCCACAUGUGCCUUUUUGUAUAUACUUUAUGAAUAAGGAUCGGCUAACUCCGUGCCAGCAUCCGCUGUAUUACGGGGGAUCCGAGCGUUAUCCGUCUUUAUUGGGUUGAAAGAGAGCGUAGAUGGGUUGUUAAGUCAGUUGUGAAAGUUUGCGGCUCAACUGUCAAAUUGCAAUUGAUACUGGCAGUCUUGAGUAUAGUUGAGGUAGGCGGAAUGCGUGGUGUAGCGGUGAAAUGCGUAGAUAUCAGGAAGAACUCCGAUUGCGAAGGCAGCUUACUAAACUGCAACUGACAUUGAUGCUCGAAAGUGUGGGUAUCAAACAGGAUUAGAUACCCCAGUAGUC
Molecule: ribosomal RNA, 460 nt
Filed under: uncultured bacterium
Lineage: Bacteria
Description: partial 16S ribosomal RNA
Rfam family: Bacterial small subunit ribosomal RNA
Source: RNAcentral